Molecule: long non-coding RNA, 3988 nt
Filed under: Xyrichtys novacula (pearly razorfish)
Lineage: Eukaryota; Metazoa; Chordata; Actinopteri; Labriformes; Labridae
Source: RNAcentral
GAGGGGCACGGGGACAGAGAUCUGGAGUGGGAGACAUAAACAGCGACGGAAAGCAGGAAAUAACAUAAAAAAUGAGGAAGGAGAGGGAAAAGGACAGAGGAGAGUGUGGGGUCAGGUGUGAGGAACAGAGGAGGAGAGUAGGCAACAGGAGUGAGAGUGGGAGGAAAUUAGGAGUGGAGGCGCCGGAGGAGGUGAGGAGUGACUAAGGUGACAAGAAGGCAGUGGGUGAACGAGGGAGGAGGCGGUAAAGUGUCCGUGGUGUGUGUGUGUGUGUGUGCGUGGGGGUUGAGCUGAGAAUAGGGAGGUUUAGGAGGCUGGUGUUGGAGUAUGUAAGUGUGUGUUUGAAAAGAGGAGAGUGGAGGAUUUGACAGAGCGAUGUACGUCGAAGGGAACAUCAGCGCUGUUAUUUCUGCUUCACUCUCCUGUCAUGAGUUUGUAUCGCUGCUGCAGCAAUUAUCUCCACCACAGUGUGUGUGUGUGUGUGUAUAAGUGUGUAUAAGUGUGUGUGUGUGCAUUUAAAUUAAUUGGGAGUGCAAAAAUGAGGAAGGAGGAAAGAGUUGGGAUGCUGUUUGCGUGUUUUCUAUCUCCUCAAUUCAAUCAAGCUGCUGCUGAUUGGACGUGUCCGUUUUCGGCGCGUUUCUCUCUCUUUUUUUGGACGGGUGUGCGGUUCUCAUGCUGCGCUCGGUAAUGCAAUCCAAAUUCGUAAGUAGGUGUGUACUUCACUUUGAAUGUGACUUUUCACAACUCAAUCUGAAUGUGUAUUUACGAGCGGGGUGCCAGACCGAGUCAACUAGCCCCCCCCCCUCAGACCGAUCUGAUUACUCUCUUUGCAUGCACUCACUCUCCUCCUCUUCCCUCCCAUGUUUCUUCCUCUCCUCUCCAAGAUAACACUUUGAAUGUGUGUGUGUGUGUUUGUAAGGGUGUCCCCAAUAGUGUAUGUGUGUGUGUUUAGGUAAUAGUAGACUAAGCCGAGCAGUUUUGAUGCCCCAGUGUGCCCCAGUGAUUCACCUUCCCUCCUCCAGGUUUCCACCUGGUCACUGGAGCAGUGCACAGAUACGACCUGACACCUGUCCGCUUGGAUGGCCAGCAACAGGCCUCACACGCAUACACACCUACACAUGUGCUGUACGCAUCCAUGCAUAAACACACAUUCGUGCCAGAGCCCUCAUUUGUACACAUUCAAAUGCCUUCACGCUCUUGCACAAGCUGAAGGAUGAAGGCCCCGGUGUUACGUGCGCACACAAGGACAUAUGCAUGCAACCAUAAAGUCAAGAGACACACUCCCUCGCUGCAUUCCUCAUUCGUAAGCUUCGACAUGCACUAAAUCCUGACGUUGAGCUCCCAGUGCCUCGGAAGCUGACAAACCCACAUGUGCUCGGUUAAAGAGCGGUACUAUGAUGUGUGUAAAUAUGUCACAGUUUAUCAUGCGUUAUUGUCGUUAGAAAAACAAGGCUUUCUGCGAAUCCACACGACGAAAAAGUUCAAAUCAUGUUUAUGUAGAUGUCUCUGCCGAGGCAAAAUCCGGAGUUAUCUCGCUGGAUUUUUUGUGAGUCGUGAAUAUAUUUAGAAUUACAAUAAGGGCUCAAAGAAAUAUAUAACAACUUCUCUCUGUGUCAUGAAACUUUGGAGUGAAGAUAUGUAAAUUGUAUUUUUUUUUUUUAAAUUUUAUUUUAUAUAACAUACAAACAAAACAAAACAAAACAAAAACACAAAAAUAGUGAUGGUGGGUACAUAUACAGACAAGACAGAAACAAAAACAGUUAACAGUAUCUUAAAGUAGUGUGUGUAUGCAUGUGAAUGUGUGCACGUGUGUGUAUGAAGCUUUUGUUUCACCCCCCCCCCCAUUGCUCCAAACCCCCUUCUAAAUCAAGGAGACCCCUGACCGACCAGCAUAAAAGCUGUAAGCUCAAGUGGAGAGCAGGUCCGGCAGGAUGUCCGAUGUCAUGCAUGGGGGCAGAUGCAAAUGUGUUGAUGUGUUUGUGCUGAUUAUGUGGAUGUGAGUAAGAUGGGGCCAGAUUUUAUGGAUGCUGUGGUUUGGGGGGUCCGGCGAUCGUUGAAAGUCAGUUUAUUAAUAAAUGUAGACCAGGUUUUGUUAAAGCAAGGUAAAUUGUAUUUUAAUAACAUCCUGUUCGCCGUUCUUGUGGCUCUAAGGGCGCGUUCACACCACCCACGUUUAGUGCGGUUAAACCGAACCCUGGAACGUUUACCCCCCCUUGGUGCAGUUCGUGAACACUGACCUCGAACUCUGGUCCGGACCAAAUAAACGAACUCUGGUCUGCCUGAAGAGGUGGUCUCGGACCUCUAUCAAGUGAACUCUGGAGCGGUCCAUUUCUGGUGUGAACGUCAUCCACACCAAUCACAGGAAAAGCACCUAGGCUAGGCUUUUUGUAAUGCUGGUUGUGAAAUGAAUGUUGUUCGCUCACCUCACUUGUCCCGAUUGACACUAGAGAGAAAACGCAUCGUGGUAGACUCUCAUUAAUGCCUGUCGCCGUCUUGUCUUUGUCCGUCUGUUGUUUGGCAAAAUCAGCCUACGAUGCUCCAUGACAGGCAAAGACAGCAGAGCGGGGUUUGUAUUCAAGCAUAAACUGAUAACCAAUAACCGAACGAUAUUCGCGGUCACGUGACUUCCGGUUCCGUUUUCUGGAGCGAUUGAUUUUGUCCUUUGUGAACGCAAACCGGACCAGUUAAACAAUCAAAACAAAUGUAUCCUCUUGCCUUGGAUUCGAAUCAGGAAACUGACCUUUAGGUGUGAACACGACCUUAGAGGCUGUUCAUUGCGCUAAAAGCUAAUAUAACAAACGUAAUUGUCCAAGGUGAUCACUCUAGGUUGAUACCAUCUUGCAUCAUUGUUUCCCAAGGUCAAGAAUCAACCAACCUACCAUCUUCCUCCAUUGUUCCUUGUUUUUUUAACGUCCCACAGAAACACUUUUGCUCUAAUCAAACUCGACUGGAACUCUCUCGCCAUAAGACCUGACUGUCACCGUCGAUGAGCUCGGUGCAGGAAAGAUAAAACCGGACACACAUCCCUGAGAAGCCGACAGACUUUUACCUGCGUUGAAGUGCUCUCCACUUAAAGCCCCUCUGUCCAGCGAACAGAACCCACCGCCUACAAUGAGCAUCUCCUGCAGCUGAAGUAUUGCGACGUGCGUGUGAGUGCUCCUGAGGUUAACAAGCUUGAGUCAAUGUGAACUCGACUGUUUUGAGUGGUUUGGACUUGACAAAGGUGGACUGGAGUAAAGGCUCUAUGUGUGUCUUUAUAUUUCAAUAUUGUUUGUUAGGAAUAAGACUUAGGAAAGCAGUCAUAACAAGUUAAAAAGUUAUCUAACUGGGCAGAUUCAUGGACAGAAGCACUGUGAUGGAUUCUGAACAUGGCUUUACUGAGCUCAAAGAUGACAGCUGCCAUAUUUAAAAGCUGAGUCAAAUCAUGUUCUCAGUUACCCCAAAAUUAUGCCUGAAUCUUUGCAGCUACACAAUCCAAACUAUUUUAAUAAUUUCAAACCAUUUCUUUUAAAUGGUUUACCAAAACAUUUUUUUAGAGAUUUUUUUUUUUUUUUUACCACUACAUAAAUAUGUUUAAAUACUGCUGUAAAAUGAGCUUUUGAGUAUGGAUGGAUGGAUGCUUGUUUAGAUGAAUAGAAGAAUUGAUUGAUGGAUGACUGUUAGUGUGGAUGGAUUGAUGAAUGGAUAGAUAUUUAGAUGGAUGGAUGGAUGGAUUGAUCGAUACAUGUUAAGAUGGAUGGAUGGAUGGAUGGAUGCAUGUUUAGACGAUGGAUGAAUGAAUGGAUAAAUGGAUUAUUGUUUAGAUGGAUGGAUGGAUGGAUGUUAAGAUAGAUAGAUGGAUGGAUGGAUGGAUGGAUCAAUGCAUGUUAAGAUGGAUGGAUGUAUACAUGUUAGGAUGGAUGGAUGGAUGGAUGGAUGCAUGUUAAAAUAGAUGGAUGAAUGAUGGAUACAUGUUGGGAUGGAUGGUUGGAUGGAUGGAUCGAUCAAU